UUGGCUUCUCUUUUGAAACCAAGAGAUGCACCUCUUUUAUAUGCCAUAUGAUUAGGACCAUCACCUUAGUUUCAGUGAAUUGUUAUUUUCAGAAAGAAAAUUUGAAAAUCUCAUCUUCAACUCUCACUCAAGGCAGCAUUACGCUGCUGUCCACCUACGUUUUGGUCAUGUAGCAUAUAUCAGACUCAACUGACAGCUUUUUGUCAGUGAAAUAAAUUGAUCAGGUUUUGACCACAUGGAUAUUCACCUUUCCGUCUGGACUAAGUGGAAGAAAGAUGGACUUCCUCAGAAACAGUUUUGUCUUUUGUCACGUUCGUAGACUAAAUCGCCUCUUCCUCUUCAUGCAGAGUUCAGGUGGUGAAAGAAAAGUGGCAGCAUGGACCAAAUACAGCACAGUUAGUUUGAAAACUGCAUCUUACGUGUUCGAAGAUCCGGAAGGGGAUUCUUUUUGAAACUGCAUCAGGCUUCUCCCGAUGUGUUUGAAGCACUGAACUGUAUCUAGUAUCUCUGUGUGGGUCAAAAUAGAAACAAACUGCUAGUCAGUACAAUUUUGUUGCUUCAAGUAGAGUUUUAAUAAAGUUGAUGAAAACAA
This is a long non-coding RNA of Labrus mixtus (cuckoo wrasse), 592 nucleotides long. RefSeq lists it as uncharacterized. Lineage: Eukaryota; Metazoa; Chordata; Actinopteri; Labriformes; Labridae. The transcript is spliced from 2 exons. The record is from RefSeq and is a predicted model, not a curated record.